UUACUGGUAAAGUAAACAGCAUUCGGGGAUUACCCAGGGAAAACUCUCGCCAACGAAGUGAUAGUAUUAAUAAUUAGAAAAGAAAUCACUUGGGCUAAAAAAAUUAGCCGGCUAUAAGCAGAGUAAGGAAGCCUGCCAUUACUAAGAGAAUAAAAAUGAGUGGAAACACAUCAAAUGAAGGAAGAGAUAUAGCUAUAGGCGCUGGGGUUGGAGCAGUAACUGGAGUAGGAGGUGUUGCUGCUGGGAUACAAACUGGAGCUAUUGUAGGAUCAUUUGCUGGUCCAGUUGGGUUUGUGGUUGGUGGAGCAGUUGGAGCUGGUGUUGGUGCUAUUGUUGGACUUAUUGUAUCAAAAAAAUGAUAUCAAAUAUAUACAUGCAUGUAUUUGUGUUGCUCUUGAUUGUGCUAUCAUUGCUUAGUACAAUGUGUACAUGUAUAUGCUUAGUGUUUAAUUUUUUUUCAAAUAAACUAGUUAUAAUAAUAAUGACUGCCAGUAGGAGGAGAGAGUCAAAGUAUCAUAAAUACUGACGUCAGUUUAUACAUGUACAUGUACAUGUAGAUCACAUGAUCAGAUGAUCACGCCAGAUCCAAGAAUGCUUGACGUGGUCAAUAACACUGUGCUAGUAGACACCUCAUCGUCAGCAAAUCUAGGUCUUCCCUCCUGACAUUAGUGGCUAAUAAUAAUAUCGUGAUAAGCUCAGUAAUAAGAAUGUCCUCACCUUCAGAAUCAGAUGAAGCAAAAACAGUAAGGAAAGGUAAAAUAGUAGGAACAUUGUUAGGUAUUGGAGGAGGAGCAGGAGCAGGAGUUGGAGUGGGAACCUUUGGUGGACCUAUUGGCAUGGGUGUUGGUGCAAUAGUUGGAGCAGUGGUUGGUGGUAUUGGUGGAUACUUUACAGGAGAAGUUGCUGGAUAUAAGAUAGCAAAAAAAUAAUUAGACAAGGAAUAACUAUGUCAUGAUUGAAUUCACACAACUUGCUGCCUUUUAAUGAAACCCCUCAUAGCUAGUUAUAAAUGAUAUUUGUUUGCCUCCUUCACAUUAUUUGUAAUCUUUGCUGCUAUUCAUGAUAUUAAAUAUUAA
Amphimedon queenslandica is the source of this 1076-nucleotide long non-coding RNA. RefSeq lists it as uncharacterized. Lineage: Eukaryota; Metazoa; Porifera; Demospongiae; Haplosclerida; Niphatidae. The record is from RefSeq and is a predicted model, not a curated record. The transcript has 3 exons.